This 259-nucleotide non-coding RNA is filed under the name Desulfofarcimen acetoxidans. RNAcentral describes it as "Desulfotomaculum acetoxidans T-box sequence". It matches the Rfam family "T-box leader". From Rfam's summary of the family: Uncharged tRNA acts as the effector for transcription antitermination of genes in the T-box leader family. Lineage: Bacteria; Bacillati; Bacillota; Clostridia; Eubacteriales; Peptococcaceae. The record is from RNAcentral.
UUAACAGUAAUGAAGGGGAAGAGUAAGAGGUCAAUAAGUUAUUCAGGGAGGAAAGGUCAUUGACUGAAAGCCUUUUCAAGAACUUUGCCUGUUGAAUUUCACCCCUGAACUGCAGCUGAACGUAAAAUACCAGUAGGUGUAGCCGGUUUUUUCCACCGUUAUCGGGAGAAAGGUUUUAAUACCUGGAUUUUUAAGUGGUUUGCCGGUAUUCUUGAGGCAGACAAACAGGGUGGUACCGCGGAAUAUUUCCGUCCCUAAU